Molecule: ribosomal RNA, 484 nt
Filed under: uncultured bacterium
Lineage: Bacteria
Description: partial 16S ribosomal RNA
Rfam family: Bacterial small subunit ribosomal RNA
Source: RNAcentral
AUUGAACGCUGGCGGCAGGCCUAACACAUGCAAGUCGAGCGGAUGAAGGGAGCUUGCUCCUGGAUUCAGCGGCGGACGGGUGAGUAAUGCCUAGGAAUCUGCCUGGUAGUGGGGGAUAACGUCCGGAAACGGGCGCUAAUACCGCAUACAUCCUGAGGGGGAAAGUGGGGGAUCUUCGGACCUCACGCUAUCAGAUGAGCCUAGGUCGGAUUAGCUAGUUGGUGGGGUAAAGGCCUACCAAGGCGACGAUCCGUAACUGGUCUGAGAGGAUGAUCAGUCACACUGGAACUGAGACACGGUCCAGACUCCUACGGGAGGCAGCAGUGGGGAAUAUUGGACAAUGGGCGAAAGCCUGAUCCAGCCAUGCCGCGUGUGUGAAGAAGGUCUUCGGAUUGUAAAGCACUUUAAGUUGGGAGGAAGGGCAGUAAGUUAAUACCUUGCUGUUUUGACGUUACCAACAGAAUAAGCACCGGCUAACUUCGUG